UCUGGUGUGGUUCGAGUGAGAAUUGAAGGGGACAAUGAAAAUAAAUUACCCAGAGAAGACGGUAUGGUUCCAUUUGUAUUUGUUGGCACUAAAGAAAGCAUUGGAAAUGUGCAAGUUCUUCUAGAGUAUCAUAUUGCUUAUCUAAAGGAAGUAGAACAGCUAAGAAUGGAACGCCUACAGAUUGAUGAACAGCUGCGACAGAUUGGUUCUAGGUCUUAUAGUGGAAGAGGCAGAGGUCGUCGGGGACCUAAUUACACCUCCGGUUAUGGUACAAAUUCUGAGCUGUCUAACCCCUCUGAAACGGAAUCUGAGCGUAAAGACGAGCUGAGUGAUUGGUCAUUGGCAGGAGAAGAUGAUCGAGACAGCCGACAUCAGCGUGACAGCAGGAGACGCCCAGGAGGAAGAGGCAGAAGUGUUUCAGGGGGUCGAGGUCGUGGUGGACCACGUGGUGGCAAAUCCUCCAUCAGUUCUGUGCUCAAAGAUCCAGACAGCAAUCCAUACAGCUUACUUGAUAAUACAGAAUCAGAUCAGACUGCAGACACUGAUGCCAGCGAAUCUCAUCACAGUACUAACCGUCGUAGGCGGUCUCGUAGACGAAGGACUGAUGAAGAUGCUGUUCUGAUGGAUGGAAUGACUGAAUCUGAUACAGCUUCAGUUAAUGAAAAUGGGCUAGGUAUGUAAGCACUUAGGGAAAAUAAAUAAAUAUAUAUAUAAUUGUAUACUAUUGUUAGUAUAUGAAGCUUUUUUCAAAGAAAGUAUGCAAUUCACAAAUUGACUUUUUCUUAGUGUUUACUUUGAACAAGGUAGAUAGCUUUCUGUCUGUCUGAAAUGUUUAGUUCUCAGAUUGGUUAUAGCCAAAUUAUUUGAAACUUGGGAGGGUUAAAGUGCCCUUUGAUGCCAUUAAAUCAGUACAAAAAUUCAGCUGGCAAGGUACUUAGUGCUUUUAUUGUCCCC
This 954-nucleotide small RNA is filed under the name Pongo abelii (Sumatran orangutan). RNAcentral describes it as "retained intron". The record is from RNAcentral. Lineage: Eukaryota; Metazoa; Chordata; Mammalia; Primates; Hominidae.